UGAUCCACCCACCUGGGCCUCCCAAAGUGCUGGGAUUACAGGCGUGAGCCACUGUGCCUGGCCGAAUCCAGCUCUCUUCUAUUAAGAUAUUCUUUUUAUUCUAGUAAAGAGAAUUGCAAAAAUGUAAACAAAUGCCAGUCUUCAUGAAAGGUUUUUGGUUUGUAAAAAUAUAGCUAUUUUCAAAAAACUUAUUUAUGUUAAAAUGAAAUGUUUAUUUUUGUUAUUUUUUAAAAAGUUGAUACAUAAAUAAAAUUCUCAGUUGUAAUUUCUCAACAGGAUAGAGCUAACCCACAUAACAAAAGGUCUUUGCAGUCCUCAGUAAGUUUUACAAGUUUAAAGGGGUCCUGAGACCAAAACGUUUGAGGACCACUGUCCCUCCGGAAGGCUGCGGCUUUCUUCUGGUGGCUUUACACUUCUGCUGUCCUUCAGCCACGUCCCUUUCGCGUCUCCAGGGACUCCUCCAUUUGCCUUGAAUUUCUCCUGUUAGCUCCACUCCAGGGUGGCCACAUGAGGGCAGCCGAUUCCGCCCUGAGCCCUUGCGGGGGCCUCAAGCACAGGUGUUCACCAGGUCAGCCUUCAGCAUCCAGUUCCUACCGAGUCCCUGGCUGGUGGUACUGGAGAAGCAAAGACGAUAAACCAGGUCCUUGUUCUGUGGGAGGCUCAGGCCUCCUGUUCUCUCCCUCCCAGGGGCCAGGAGAGAGGCCCCAGCCAGAGCCUGAGCACAUCAUAGGGUUGACAUGUUUGGUGAAUGAACAUUAUCUCUGUGUUGUGCAGAGCUGAGCAUAGAACUCCAUCUUCUAGAUCCUGAACUUUAACCUGGAAGGGUUAGGCCUUCUUGCCAUUGCCUGCAGGGAGAGGUGAGCACCCUAGAACACUUACUGUUCGGGAGCACGUGGUUCUCAUGCAGUAAAGUGAGAAGGGGAGAGGAGGCACCUUUUCUCUAGUCUUGGAUUAAGGUGGAAGUAAAGGGCAUAUGUGAAGUUUUUCCCAAAACUAAGGCCUCAUUUAUUUUUUAUUUUUUAUCAGAACAAGUCAUGGACAUCUCUAGCAAUGAAAGCAAAGCCCUGCAGUCAUUUAACAUAGACAUACUCUCUACAUCCUGUUAGCCAGCGGCUCCUACGACUUCUCCCAACAAUCUUAAAGCAACCUGGCAUGAAGGAGCUGGCUCAAAUGCUGGUCAGUGGAAAGGGCAUAAGCUCUGAAGUCACAACACAAGGGUUCAAAUCCGACCCUCCCGGCUCCUGGUCUGUGCUCUCUCCCCCUUACUGUAAUGCCAACUUCACUUUGGUUUUUACCCCUGCAAAUAUUCAUCAUUGUGUUGAGUCAACACAAUGAUACAUAAAAAAUCAGCAGUCUCUGAUAAAGUGUGGCCUACUGGUUAAGAGGAGCAGGGCUUUGAAAGGAUAGCCAAGGUAACACUCCUGGUUCCACCAUGUGUUAGCUGUGUAACCUCGGGCAAGCUGCUUAACCUCUCUGAGUCUCAAUUUUCUCAACUGUAGAAAGCAGACAUAAUAUUACAGGGUUGCUGAGAGAAUAAUAUGACAUUAGGUUUCUAAAGUGCUUAAUUCAGUACCUGGCUCAUAGUAAGUGCUCAAUAAACACCAGUUAUAAACAUCACUGCAUUUGAAAUUCACAGCUUUUUCAAAGUUAGAGUCAGAAAGAAUUUCAGAAGUCCUGUAAUUCAAUGUUUUCCAAAGUGUGUUCAAAACACUCACUUCCCUCAAGAUGCUCCAUGAAAAAGGGUUCUGUGGCCAAAUAUGAUGGGUUGUAUAUUAAAGCCUCAGAGAAGCCACAGAGUAAAGAAACCUGUUGAACUUUGAUUACUCCAACCUUUAUCAAAUGGAUUUGACUGUAGAACCCUCUUCACACAUCACUUUUUAACUUCCAGGUUGCUGGUAGACAGAGCUCAGUCAUUAACCAUCAUUAAGAAUCAUAACAAAUACUGGAUAACAUUUAUGGAGGGUUUGCUCUAUGCCAGGCACUGUGAUAUGCACAAGGCAUGUAUUAUCUCACUUUAUUCAUAACAACACUAAGAAGUAGUGCUAUCAUCUUUUACGGAUGAAAAAAUAGGCUUAGAAGACUAAGUAACUUGGCCAAGGUCACAUACCAAGAAAUCGUCAGCAUGCAAACUCAGGUUGGCCUGGCUCUGGAAUUCAGCCUUGCCACCUCCCUGUAUGGUUUCCGCAGCCCACUGCAUUACCCCUGACUGUUGGACAGUCCUUCCUUGUAUUGAGCUGAAAUCCAAUUCCAGUUCCAAUCACACUGUUUCUCCAGGGUGCACAUAAAUAUAUGGUGAAAUGUAUUAUUUAGUUUCAAUUCUAAAUAUCCUUUAUUUGUCAUUGUUUCUCGAAUUGUAUUUAUUCUGUUCCCUUUUCUCUUGACUUGCUCAAGUACUUCAGCAUUUCAUUUGGACUAAAAAACUCAACACAAUUCUGUCUGCUUUCUUAUAGUAUGAUAUUUUCAUUUUUAGGAAGUGACACAUUAUCAAAACCCAUAAGAACUAAAUUUUUUUAAGAGGGGGAAAAAGACAAGGUCAGGAGGCUGAGGUGGGAGGAUCGCUUGAGCCCAGGAGUUCGAGACCAGCCUGGGCAACAGAGUGAGACCCUGUCUCUACAAACACCACCACCACCAACAAAAAAAAAAUUAGUUGGGCAUGGUGGCACAUGCCUGUGGCACAUGCCUACUCAGGAGCCUGAGGUGGGAGAGUCACUUGAGCCCAAGAGGUCGAGGCUAUUAGUGAGCCAUGAUCACACCACUGCACUCCAGCCUGGGCAACAGAGCAAGACCCCAUCAAAAAAGAAAGUUUUAGAUGUAUACAAUAACUAAGUUAUUUUCCCUGCAGGAAUUUUGAUAACAAAGUUGUCUUUUAUAGCUCUAGUAGUAUUGCUGUAAAGCUAUAAAAGUACCUCUGGCUUUUGCCCAAGUGUAGUAGUGUCUGUCUCUCUCUCUGUCUCUCCAUAGCAGCACAUUGUUAACUGUUUCUUACCAGUAGCACUACUUUCAUUACUUUUAUGACUCAUUGUCUCCCUUAUUUAGUAAACAAAGUAUACAGCCACUAAAAGCAAGUAGCUGGGCUAUUCACAGCAGCUUCUCCCCCAUACACUGUGGUAGUUCCUAACUACAAUCUGUUUGUGUCCAAUAGCAGUUCCUAGUGAUGCAAAUAGUACUUUCCAUUUAAACAAUUUCAUUAUAGCCAAUUCUAGUUCUGAAAAUACCACUGGAAGAAAAACACUUGAGUUCUCAGUAUGGUUUGACCAAUAUAGCUUGGAACUAUCACUUUCCUUGUUCUGAACAUUAUACUUCACUAGUUCAGCUCGAGAUCUCAUUAUUUUGGGUAACUGCAUUACCCUAUACCUGCUUGUGGAGUUUGUCUCCAACCAAUUAAUUUUCCCCUACAAUUCUGCUAUACAUCAGCAGUUGUAUUUUGGAGCCCACGUGAAAGGAAACUAUACUUACAUCUGUUCCAGUUCAUCUGUUUAGGUCUGGCUCGUUGUUCAGCCUGUGACAAUCAUCUGGGAGUGGCGAUCAUUCUCCUUCAGCCCAUGUCCUCUGUGAAACUGAUAAACCUGCCCUAGAGCAGCACUUUCCAACAGAAUGUUCUGUGAACAUGGAAAUAUACCAGAUCUAUGCUGUCCAAUAUGGUAGCCACUAGCCACAUGCAGGUUUUGAGCACUUGAAAUUAGGCUCAUGCAACUGGGAACUUAAUUUUAAAUUGUCUUUAAUUUUAAUUAAUUUAAAUAAUCCCAUAUGGCUAAUAGAUAUCAUACUGGACAGUGUCGUAGCUCUAGAUGUUUACCUGAAAUGCAGGUAAAAAUAUUAAGUAGAACAGGGACCUGCUUCUGUCCCUGGAGUCCAAACUCUGGACUGGGGAUGGCCAUUCAAGGAUUAUCAACCACCUGUGUUUAUAAUAACUCGGUGCACAAUUUUAUCCACCAGCGUAUAUGAGUAUCAGUGAAGGACUUUGUCAAAUGCCUUGUAAAAAGCAAGAUGGCCUAGAAAUAUGUGGCACUGCCCUGCUCUACCAGCCUCAUGAUUUUUUUUUCCUAGAAAAUAGGGUGUGUUUUUUUUUCUAUUUGUAGAAGUCAUACAUACCUACUGUGGCAAAAUGCAGGAAAGUACCUAGAGGAAAUUAACAAUGACCAAAAUUCUGCCAUCUUGAGAUAACUACUGUUAACAUUUCAGCAUUUUUCUUUCAGCUUUUUUUCUGUGUUGGUAUUUUUCACAUCACUGAAAUCAUACCUUCUCUGUUACCUCCUGUUUUUUUUAAUUUAAAAAAAUUAAAAAAAAUUUAAUCGACAAAAAUAUAUAUGUUUAUCAUGUACAACAUGCUGUUACACUGUGGAAUGGCUAAAUCAAGUUAAUAAGCACACACAUUACUUCACAUAUAUAUCAUUUUUUUGUAGUAAGGACACUUAAAACCUACUCAGCAAUUUUCAGUACAAUAAAUUGUUAUUAACUGUAGUUACAUAAACCAAAAAUAAAAUUCUAAGGCCCUGCAACCAUCUGAAAGGAUCCCUCCUCCUGGCUAGGGCAUUCCAAAGUUAGCCUAAAAACUGGUUCAGGCCAUGAUGGGAAAGGAGGGUCGGACAUGCCUCAUUAUACUCUUCUGCCUUUGGGAUUUCAGGAAAAGCUGACGAGCAUUUAACAUCAACACAGGACCUUAAGUCCGCUAAGAAACAUUUACAAUCUCUUCUCUGUGAAGCUUGCAACCUGAAGGCUUCACCUGCAUGAUCAAACUUUGGUCUCCACAACCCCUUAUCAUAAUCCAGACAUUCCUUUCUAUUCAUAAUAACUCUUUCAACCAAUUGCCAAUCAAAAGUUUUAAAUCUACAUAGAACCUAGAAUUCCCCUCACUUCAAAUUGUCCCACCUUUCUGGACUGAAGCAAUGUAUAUCUUACAUUUUUAUGUCUCAUGUCUCUAAAAUGUAUAAAGAAGGUUGUGCCCCGACCACCCUGGGGACAUGUUCUGAGGGUCUCCUGAGGGCUGUGUCUUGGGUCAUUGGUCACUCAUAUUUGGCUCAGGAUAAAUCUCUUCAAAUAUUUUACAGAGUCUGACUCUUUUUGUCCACAACACCAUGUGGUACAAUAGAUCUCUUGAACUCAUCCCGCUUAUCUAACUGAAAUCUUGUAUCCUUUUACUAACACCUUUCCAACCCUUGCCUCCCAGUCCCUGGCACCCACCACUCUGCACUCCGCUUCUACGAAUUUAAUGUGUUUUCUCGUUUGUUUGUUUUUUGUUUUUUUUCUGAGAUGGCGUCUCACUCUUGUUGCCCAGGCUGGAGUGCAAUGGUGCGAUUUGGCUCACUGUGGCCUCUGCCUCCCGGGUUCAAGCGAUUCUCCUGCCUCAGCCUCCCAUACCAGUUCAACUUUUUCAGAUUCCACGUGCACACAGCUGGGGGACAUCUCCCAGACUCCCCUGCAGCCAGCUGUGGCUAUGUCAUUGAGGGCCAGCCAGUGAAGCGUGGGCAGAAGUGAUGUGUGCCUCUGCCGGCCUGGCCAUUAAGACCCCCGCAUGGAGUGGAGACGACACCCAGGGCGACCUUGGAAGUGGCAUGAUGAAGAGACCAGAGCUUUUGUGGAGCAGUAGUGCGGAGGAGGAGCACCUGCUGAACCACUCACUCCCCGACAGUUGUGUUGGAUUGUGGACCUGUUUUCUCUUUGCCCACUCUGGGCUCAUUUGCAAUUAUAACCUCGUUGCUUCUGCUUGAGCUAUCUUUCCUUUGUCUUGGAUCAUGGGAUCAAGCAUGCGUAAUUUUUCUCCAAAUACCUUGGGAUUCUUCUUCCUAACUCUUGGUACAGAGUCCAGCUGUCCCAGGCUCCUGGAUGACAGGGAGCUUUCUCUCACUCUCAUCUGACCAACAGGUUCCCCUAGCGGUACAUAAUUAGAUCCAAAAUGGUGCUUCUCUUUAUCAUUUUCUCUGCUUUCUGAGAAAUGGAAUUGUCAUUUUGGCAAGAAUUUGGCAGAAAUUGUAUUUCAGAUUUUAAUACAAUUGAGAAAAAACCAUUCAUAACCACAGUUGUCUGGUACGUAAUGAAGGUAGAUCUUGCCGAAUGGAACAUCCUUCUCUGCAACUUGGUGGGUUUGAAUGGCUGAGUUUGGCAGAAGGAAUGGUAGAGAAAUAGAUGACUCUACAGAAUAAAUGGGGAAGGAUUUGGAGUUCUGGAAGCAAUAUAAAAGGGAAGGGGUAAAGAGGAGAGAUGGGAAGAUGAGGAGCCAGCUGGAUCACUCUGUAAGGGGAGCUAGCCUAAAAUCCUAAUGGGACCGGAUGGCUCAAGAGCUUUUGAGAACACUGGUGUCCAAUAUUUCAUUUGAAGUUGUUGAGUAGAUCUCCUCCACUCCCCUGAGGGGUUGGUGCCAGGCUGGACAGGGACAGCACACAGAUGGUGAGACAGCCCACAAGCUGAAUUCUCCACUUGCAGAGGCUGAGAACCAGCGAUGACUGUAAAUGUGAGUCUCUGCCCGCCUUCUGCCCUGGCCUCCCUCCUGAGAACUGGCCAGACUUUUGAGGAGGAAUUUAGACUUCCAAAGGGUGGAGAAUAGAAGUUUCAUCCAGUCUUAUCUAGGGAAGCUCCCGCUGACAUCCAAAUUACAUAAUAAACACGGCCAGUAAAAUACUACUGCUACUACUAUCAUAAAAUAAAAUAAGGAAUUAAGUAGAUAGGUCAGGAAUUUGGCCCCUUAAAACACUGAGGCCAGAGAGAUUACACAGUGUGCCUCAGGGAUGUUUUGCUCUGUUCUCAGGUUAUCUGGCUCCUAUUCCUUGUGUCCUCAGUCCUUGCCUGGGAAGAGAGUGCAGUGAGCAGGGUAGCUCCUCACCCCCUCUCCUCAGGUACCAGGUGCUCCUGGGCCCUCAAGGGCUCAGCUCUUCCCUCCGCAGCUCCUGCAGGGGCUGUUGGGUUUAUCAGAGACUGGUUCUGUCAAAGAGCUGAGCUCAGGGGAACAUUUUGGGGGAGUGAGGUUCCUACCACCUUGGAGAUAGCUUUUUCCAAACAAGGGGAAGCAUUUGAGAAAUAUGUUCAUUAGUAAGUUCGUCAGUGGUCAUAAAGAUAUUUUGUCUGAUGGCAGAAGGCCUGAAUCUUUGUUCCCAUAAAAGACUUACUCCUCUAACCAGAAGAAUAAACGAAAGGUGGUGAGACACUGGGGACAUCUGGGCAGCCAUGGAGAAAGAGUUUGUGGAUCUGACCCACUGUUCUCCUCUUGUCCAGAUAAGGACGUGUGUUUGUGUGUUGACUGGUGAGGACAGGAGGAGGUUUCCUGAGUGCAGAGUGCCAAAGCACAAAGCCUGAGAUAAAAAGGCAUAAAUAGACCUAGAGCCUGACCCAGAGCCAGGCCCAGUGUCCUUGGGCUGGUAGGACUUGCAGGCCAGGUCCCAGAUGGGGAGGGGGUACUGGGGCUGAGCAGCUGCUAUGGAAAUUUCCAUGGGCUGUACACCAGCUCUUGGUAAGCUCUUGCACUCAGCAUGGCAUGGGGAGGACAUGGGUUAUGAAAGAGGCACAAGACUUAGUCCAAGCUUAUAAGGAGCUAGGCCUCUAGAGAAAAAACUCAGGCUUGCCAAAGCAGCAAGUAAACAAACAGGUUGGAAAAUUUUGAAACAAAGUUGUAAAUAAGGUCAAGGCAUGGAACCAGUCAAGAAAAGUCAAUAUCGUAUUCCAGUUAUUAGAACCUCAUUUCACCUUCUAAGGACAAUGUUGAAAAUACAAACUUCACAUUAAGAUAAAAAUGGGUUUUAUUACUUUAAAUACUAAUAAAGAGGUGACAAUAUAUUAGUUUUUUAAAGAAAAAACUUUUUAUAAUUAAUUGCCACUUGCCAGAGUUUGAGAUUUUCUUAAGAAUUCAGGUUAAACUUACAAAAUCAUUUUUAAUACAGAAAUCAAUGAAAAAUGAUCCAAAGACAUUAGUUUCAUGCAUUGGUAAUCGUUACCAAAAGCCUUACAGUGUGCAAUUUUGUAAAGUCAAUGUUGCAACUAUCCCAGGAAUUGGAGGUCUGUGUUUUUCCCCUCUCUAGUAAGAUUCAGGUCGUGUGUGUGUGUGUGUACAAGUGUGUUCACACGUGUGCAUGUGCAAUGUAUGAACCCACAAUGCUGACCAUAAUGCUGGACUCCCAAUGCACUGGUUAGGAUGCCUUUGCUUGUAUUUAAAGAAGCCAUGAAGAGGACAUAUUAGUUCACAUGGCUGAAAAGUUAAGUGUUAGGGCAGCCUUCUAAUAAGCUUUAAUCAGGGCUCCAGUUCCAUUUCUAAUUCUGUCUGCCUUGCCCUGUUGUGGCCAGAUUCCUUUUCGGGCUGGCUUAUUCACAGUUGCAAGAUGUCUGUGAACAGCAACUCAGCCAACAACAACUCGUCUAAGGAGAGAGGAGCUAUUGUUUCCUACAGCCGUUGCAUAGAAGUCCUGAGCUUCCUUCUGAUUGGACCACCCCAGGACCAGUCAUUGAGGGCGUGCCAUGUGCUGACUGGCUGAGAUUCAAAAACCUAUCAUCUUGUCAAGUGGAUUGGGAUUGACUUAUAUCGGGGGCAUGAUAUGGUUUGGUUGUGUCCCCACCCAAAUCUCAUCUUGAGUUGUAGCUCCCAUCCCACGUGUCAUGGGAGGGAACUGGUGGGAGGUAAUUGAAUCAUGGAGAGGGUCUUUUCCAUGCUGUUCUUGUGACAGUGAAUAAGUCUCAUGAGAGCUGAUGGUUUUAUAAACGGGAGUUCCUCUGCACAAACUCUCUUGCCUGCCACUGUGUAAGACAUGACUUUGCUCCUCAUUCUCCUUCUGCCAUGAUUGUGAGGCCUCCCACGCCGUGUGGAGCUGUGAAUCAAUUAAACCUCUUUCCUUUAUAAAUUA
Long non-coding RNA from Homo sapiens (human), 8822 nucleotides. RefSeq lists it as uncharacterized. The record is from RefSeq and is a predicted model, not a curated record. The transcript has 2 exons. NCBI's taxonomy places the organism in Eukaryota, Metazoa, Chordata, Mammalia, Primates, Hominidae.